AACGCUGGCGGCAUGCCUAACACAUGCAAGUCGAACGAGACCUUCGGGUCUAGUGGCGCACGGGUGCGUAACGCGUGGGAAUCUGCCCUUGGGUUCGGAAUAACAGUUAGAAAUGACUGCUAAUACCGGAUGAUGUCUUCGGACCAAAGAUUUAUCGCCCAGGGAUGAGCCCGCGUAGGAUUAGCUAGUUGGUGGGGUAAAGGCCUACCAAGGCGACGAUCCUUAGCUGGUCUGAGAGGAUGAUCAGCCACACUGGGACUGAGACACGGCCCAGACUCCUACGGGAGGCAGCAGUGGGGAAUAUUGGACAAUGGGCGAAAGCCUGAUCCAGCAAUGCCGCGUGAGUGAUGAAGGCCUUAGGGUUGUAAAGCUCUUUUACCCGGGAUGAUAAUGACAGUACCGGGAGAAUAAGCCCCGGCUAACUUCGUG
Molecule: ribosomal RNA, 429 nt
Filed under: uncultured bacterium
Lineage: Bacteria
Description: bacterial SSU rRNA
Rfam family: Bacterial small subunit ribosomal RNA
Source: RNAcentral